GCUGCCUACAUCCAUGGGGUUGUUUGUGUCUCGGGGAAGUAAUUCAUACAGCCGCUGAGCGGAGCUGCCAGGGCCGUCUUGCUCACCUGUAUGUGUUCCCUUAUAUUUAGAGUUGAGCCACAGUUGAUAUGUUGGAGAAUAGGUUCCGCUUACAAAAGAACCAGGUAGUCUGAAUGGGUCGUUUUGAAAAGCUAAGUUUCAUUUCCCGCAUCCUGGAACCUUCUCCCUAGAGAAGAGCUUUAAACAACCCAGACCAGACCCCGGGAGUCGUUGCAGAUCUAACCGAUUUGUAAGAGGUUGCUGUGGAGGCUCAAGUGUGUGAAGGCUCAGCUGGGCUGCUGCUGGGUGCAGAGGUGGAGGUUGCAGAGGCUUGGGCAGCCAGGUCACGAUAAGCUGGUGACUUGAGGAAGCGUGGAUAGGAGUCCUUCUCCAUCAAUGUGCGGGUCUUCCCCUGAGCCACAUCGAAGCAACUGGUAGUGGCAGCCUGUAGGUUUGUCUUGGUCAGUUCUCGGGUCUCAUGAUCUAUGUUCACCUGUGGGAAGCAGGGCAAACCACAAAGGUGAGUUGUGUGGAGUGGGGUGGCUGGGCAGGGUGGGGAGGGGCGGGGCGGGGCGGGAAG
This 619-nucleotide long non-coding RNA is filed under the name Mus caroli (Ryukyu mouse). RNAcentral describes it as "lncRNA (MGP_CAROLIEiJ_G0002417.1)". Lineage: Eukaryota; Metazoa; Chordata; Mammalia; Rodentia; Muridae. The record is from RNAcentral.